Long non-coding RNA from Apodemus sylvaticus (European woodmouse), 323 nucleotides. RefSeq lists it as uncharacterized. The record is from RefSeq and is a predicted model, not a curated record. NCBI's taxonomy places the organism in Eukaryota, Metazoa, Chordata, Mammalia, Rodentia, Muridae. The transcript is spliced from 4 exons.
UUUGUAGACUUAGAUGCUCACUCUGCACAGGGGAGGCCCGAGCUGCUCCUGGGAUCUGGGACAGCAGGUCAGAGGCUGUGGGACAGCAGGUCAGUGGCUGUGGGACAGCAGGUCAGUGGCUGUGGGACAGCAGGUCAGUGGCUGUGGGACAGCAGGUCAGUGGCUGUGGGACAGCAGGUCAGUGGCUGUGGGACAGCAGGUCAGUGGCUGUGGGACAGCAGGUCAGUGGCUGUGGGACAGCAGGUCAGUGGCUGUGGGACAGCAGGUCAGUGGCUGUGGGACAGCAGGUCAGUGGCUGUGGGGCAGCAGGUCAGUGGCUGUGG